UUAUAGUAUCUCAUAAUAACAUUAGCUAAUAAAAACAAUAGUUUCAAAACUAAAGAUUUUGGCAGUGCUUAAUAUAAUCAGGGGGGCCUGUUACUUAAUACGAUAAUCCACGAACAUCUUACCAUAAUUAGAAAUAAGCCAAUUUGUAUAUCGCCGCUAAAGUUUAAACUUAAAGCUUAAACAAUAUAUAAUUUCAAUAAGAUAUCAGGUCAAAAUGCAAUUAAUAUUAUGGGGUAAAUGUGCCACAUCUACUACACAUAUUAAACUUUAACAUAAUACCAGAACUUGACAGUAAUAAAGCUUUAUUAUAGAAGUAUCAAAUACUAUUACCCAUGCACAUAUCGCCCGUCACUCUUACUGAAAAAUA
RNAcentral lists this ribosomal RNA (367 nucleotides) under Olavius sp. 'lizard 1'. Its description in RNAcentral is "partial 12S ribosomal RNA". The record is from RNAcentral. Lineage: Eukaryota; Metazoa; Annelida; Clitellata; Tubificida; Naididae.